GCUUAGAUAAGUCUGAUGAAGUGGUGGCUGUGUAGUGAGUGCUUGUUGAAUAUGUAUGUUUUUAGCAUGUUGUAUUAUCAUUGUGAAGUUUAAAGGGAAUAGACAUGACUUUGGCCUGGGUUCACUGCUGUGUUGGAUAACACUUGGCCAUGGAUAAUCCACAUAAAGAGGAACAAUCUGCAUCAGCUGUCUCACUGGGUUGUUGUGGAGCACUUGCAACAUUGAGCCUGCACCCCUGGUUAAGUGGAGCUGCCAUACUAAUUUGGAAGAAGGUGGUAGAUGCCUCGCUGGAUUCACAUUAAUGGACAAUAACACAUUGCAUUAUGGUGCUUUUCAAGGCACCCAACGUGCUUUAUAGUGCUCACCAGUGUGUAGCACCCACCUGGGUGAUGCACAGCAGCCAUUUUCCACCAGAAUACACCCCACAUAUCAGCUUGAGGAAGAGUGAGGGAAUGAAUCCAUGGAGCCACAGCCAUGUCUUCUGUCCUUGCACAAGUUGGCCCAGGUUGUCUUGCUUCAGAAGACUGAACCAGCACAGGGCAAGCAGUUACCAGUCAGUAGCCCCCCCCCCCGAGAUUGGUCCUACUUCUGUGUGCUUGGAGCUGUUCAUCCACCAUGACUGGGGAGGAAGAGAAGCUUGUCGCGGUAAGCUCAACCCUGGACGACCACAGGAAAAACAACAACAGAAUUGACCACUGUCACCAUGCCUCAUGUGGACAAACACCACAGUAUUCCAGCGCUGGAACGCCUAAUAACCCUCUCCUUACUUCUGACAUGACACGCGCAGAGAGAUUCAUGACGUGGUAUGCUAACCAUGUAAUUGAUUCCUCAAACUCUUCCAAAUGUUCUCAGUUCAUGAUUGUUCAAGAAUUCCUGCUCUUUAGUGAC
This is a long non-coding RNA of Alosa sapidissima (American shad), 888 nucleotides long. RefSeq lists it as uncharacterized. The record is from RefSeq and is a predicted model, not a curated record. The transcript is spliced from 9 exons. Lineage: Eukaryota; Metazoa; Chordata; Actinopteri; Clupeiformes; Clupeidae.